UGGGGAAUAUUGGGCAAUGGGCGCAAGCCUGACCCAGCCAUGCCGCGUGAGUGAUGAAGGCCUUCGGGUCGUAAAGCUCUGUGGGGAGGGAAGAAACCUCUCGUAGCUAAUAUCUACGGGAUUUGACGGUACCUCCUUAGCAAGCACCGGCUAACUCCGUGCCAGCAGCCGCGGUAAUACGGAGGGUGCAAACGUUGCUCGGAAUCAUUGGGCGUAAAGCGCACGUAGGCGGCCUGAUAAGUCGGAUGUGAAAGCCCUGGGCUCAACCCAGGAAGUGCAUUCGAAACUGCCAGGCUUGAAUAUGGAAGAGGGUCGCGGAAUUCCCGGUGUAGAGGUGAAAUUCGUAGAUAUCGGGAGGAACACCAGUGGCGAAGGCGGCGACCUGGGCCAAUAUUGACGCUGAGGUGCGAAAGCGUGGGGAGCAAACAGGAUUAGAUACCCCCGUAGUCC
Molecule: ribosomal RNA, 450 nt
Filed under: uncultured bacterium
Lineage: Bacteria
Description: bacterial SSU rRNA
Rfam family: Bacterial small subunit ribosomal RNA
Source: RNAcentral